CUGAUGCGUUGUUGGGUAGGGGAGCGUUCUGUAAGCCUGCGAAGGUGGCCUGUGAGGGUUGCUGGAGGUAUCAGAAGUGCGAAUGCUGACAUAAGUAACGAUAAAGCGGGUGAAAAGCCCGCUCGCCGGAAGACCAAGGGUUCCUGUCCAACGUUAAUCGGGGCAGGGUGAGUCGACCCCUAAGGCGAGGCCGAAAGGCGUAGUCGAUGGGAAACGGGUUAAUAUUCCCGUACUUGGUGUUACUGCGAAGGGGGGACGGAGAAGGCUAUGUUGGCCGGGCGACGGUUGUCCCGGUUUAAGCGUGUAGGUGUGUGUUCCAGGUAAAUCCGGUUCACUUUAACACUGAGGCGUGAUGACGAGGCACUACGGUGCUGAAGCAACAAAUGCCCUGCUUCCAGGAAAAGCCUCUAAGCAUCAGGUAACAUCAAAUCGUACCCCAAACCGACACAGGUGGUCAGGUAGAGAAUACCAAGGCGCUUGAGAGAACUCGGGUGAAGGAACUAGGCAAAAUGGUGCCGUAACU
Molecule: ribosomal RNA, 523 nt
Filed under: Salmonella enterica
Lineage: Bacteria; Pseudomonadati; Pseudomonadota; Gammaproteobacteria; Enterobacterales; Enterobacteriaceae
Also listed under: 6 other names
Description: partial 23S ribosomal RNA
Rfam family: Bacterial large subunit ribosomal RNA
Source: RNAcentral